RNAcentral lists this transfer RNA (72 nucleotides) under Blepharisma stoltei. RNAcentral's name for it is "tRNA-Ala(tgc)". It matches the Rfam family "tRNA". Rfam says of the family: Transfer RNA (tRNA) molecules are approximately 80 nucleotides in length. The record is from RNAcentral. Lineage: Eukaryota; Ciliophora; Heterotrichea; Heterotrichida; Blepharismidae.
GGGUUAAUGGUGAAGUGGUAUCACAUCUGCUUUGCAAGCAGAAGGCCCCGAGUUCAAUCCUCGGUUAAUCCA